RNAcentral lists this transfer RNA (61 nucleotides) under Rhamnusium bicolor. RNAcentral's name for it is "tRNA-OTHER". Lineage: Eukaryota; Metazoa; Arthropoda; Insecta; Coleoptera; Cerambycidae. The record is from RNAcentral.
GUGGUCCAGUGGUAAGGACACUUGCCUCGCACCCUGGAAUCCCGGGUUCGAUCCAUGGACA